This 253-nucleotide ribosomal RNA is filed under the name uncultured bacterium. RNAcentral's name for it is "partial 16S ribosomal RNA". It matches the Rfam family "Bacterial small subunit ribosomal RNA", at positions 524 to 776 of the family's 1533-position model. The record is from RNAcentral.
GACGAACCGUGCGAACGUUGUUCGGAAUCACUGGGCUUAAAGGGCGCGUAGGCGGCUUGCCAAGUCUGGGGUGAAAUCCCCCGGCUCAACCGGGGAAUUGCCUGGGAUACUGGCAGGCUCGAGGGAGGUAGGGGCGAUCGGAACUUCCGGUGGAGCGGUGAAAUGCGUUGAUAUCGGAAGGAACGCCGGUGGCGAAAGCGGAUCGCUGGACCUCUUCUGACGCUGAGGCGCGAAAGCCAGGGGAGCAAACGGG